This 114-nucleotide microRNA precursor is filed under the name Otolemur garnettii (small-eared galago). RNAcentral describes it as "miRNA (ENSOGAG00000021104.1)". The record is from RNAcentral. Lineage: Eukaryota; Metazoa; Chordata; Mammalia; Primates; Galagidae.
UGGCAACAAUACGUUGAUUGCAAUGGUGCCUUUUUGAUUAAUAAAGGGGUGUUUGAGCCUAGUUAUAAUGGUUUAAAAUUCAUGGUCCAAAACCACAGUUACUUUUGCACCAAC